This is a long non-coding RNA of Perca flavescens (yellow perch), 270 nucleotides long. RefSeq lists it as uncharacterized. Lineage: Eukaryota; Metazoa; Chordata; Actinopteri; Perciformes; Percidae. The transcript is spliced from 3 exons. The record is from RefSeq and is a predicted model, not a curated record.
UGCGCCAAAUUAAACAGUUGAGAAAGGGACUGAAAGAUGUGAUGGUAUGGCCCCUGCUGACAUCUAGGCCAGAUGUUGUACCACUUCUUUUCCCCAAAAUGGCUGACAUGCAGUUCACACCCCAGAUGCUCCUAGAAAAAAUCACAUGGCCAGUUGAGGACAGUGAUGAUGAAGACUUUGACUUAGACACCACCUGCCGCAUCACUGGCUUUCUAAGGAUGUUCAUUGAAACGGCUUCAUCAGGUACCCUGGCCCAGCUGCUGACAUUCU